Pseudophryne corroboree (corroboree frog) is the source of this 1210-nucleotide non-coding RNA. Lineage: Eukaryota; Metazoa; Chordata; Amphibia; Anura; Myobatrachidae. The record is from the annotation of a RefSeq genome assembly.
AUGUUUAAAAGUUAUCACUGUGCUAAAACUGGAGGUGGCAACAAACUCACAUUUGGACGAGGAACAUUAUUGUCUGUUCUACCCAAAACAGACAGGGACCGUCCUUCGGUUUAUCACCUCAAUUCAUCUAAGCCAGUGACAGGAGUGCCAGAGUCAGUCUGCCUGAUCACCGACAUCCCAUCUGUGGAAGAGACACUGCUCCUGGAUAAUAGAAAACUAUCAUCAGAAGCUGUGCUGGAUAAGUCUGACAGUGAUGUGUGGAGGAACAGUAUAGCGACAUGGAAUGAUGGAGAUUCUUCUCAGCCACUUCACUGUGCACUAAAAUAUGGUGGAAUGAAUAUAUUUGCAGUAUAUGAUAAAGAUACAACUGACAAGGCAUGUCUAUCCAGAUCACUUGAUGAGAGUUUUAAAACAAAUAAGAACUUAAACAAUAUGUCCUUCUCUGUAUUUGGAUUGAGGUUUUUAGUCAUUAAGGGGAUACUAUUUAACUUGAUAUCCACUCUGAGACUCUGGACAUUUUAGGCAUUCUGGCCACAGAACGUGCAUUAUAGAAUGUGAUCAUAUAUAUAGUCAUCAAACUCAUUUAUAAUAAACAGGAUUACUUUGUGAACAUUUUUGAAGGAAAGAGAUAAAAAUCAUAUUUCUAUUAGCUAUCCUGGACACCCUACUAAAUACAGCGUGCCAACCAUUUCUGCUAUUCAUAUGGAGGACAACAUUGUGAAAGUAAAGGUGGUAUAGCAACCAGCUGGCUACAAUCAAGUGAUUUUUAAUAAAACAUUAAGCUCAUCAUUGAGAUAGAUGGUAAUAGCACGUCCACUGACCUGAGUUGUACAAUAGCUGUGACAAGUCCACCACAGAACUGACAUAAAGAACUGACUCUCCGUUAAAAUGCUUAAAGAUCUUCAUUUAUAUGGUGUCAUCACAUCCUGCACUGCUCAAUCAUAAAUACAACUGGACUUUUCUAGCUCUUUAGACGCUCUCUAGGAGUUUUUCCACUUUUGUUAUCUAUAAAAAUUGGAUUAAUUUUUCAUUAUCUAUUAUUGUACAAUUGGACUGACUUCCUCAGAGCUGUAGUGCAUGUGUACACAUCCAACCCAAUGAGCAUUCUGCAUGCCCCUGGUCCCACUGUACACACUGUGCACAUUAGGUAUGACAUGCACGUGCUCCAGAUGCAAUAAUGGGACAGAGGAGGAACAGGUGCAAUGUGAGU